AUUGAACGCUGGCGGCAGGCCUAACACAUGCAAGUCGAACGGUAGCACAGAGAGCUUGCUCUCGGGUGACGUGUGGCGGACGGGUGAGUAACGUCUGGGAAACUGCCCGAUGGAGGGGGAUAACUACUGGAAACGGUAGCUAAUACCGCACAACGUCGCAAGACCAAAGUGGGGGACCUUCGGGCCUCACACCAUCGGAUGUGCCCAGAUGGGAUUAGCUAGUAGGUGGGGUAAUGGCUCACCUAGGCGACGAUCCCUAGCUGGUCUGAGAGGAUGACCAGCCACACUGGAACUGAGACACGGUCCAGACUCCUACGGGAGGCAGCAGUGGGGAAUAUUGCACAAUGGGCGCAAGCCUGAUGCAGCCAUGCCGCGUGUAUGAAGAAGGCCUUCGGGUUGUAAAGUACUUUCAGCGGGGAGGAAGGCGGUGAAGUUAAUAGCUUCACCGAUUGACGUUACCCGCAGAAGAAGCACCGGCUAACUCCGUGCCAGCCGCCGCAGUAA
This 504-nucleotide ribosomal RNA is filed under the name uncultured bacterium. RNAcentral describes it as "partial 16S ribosomal RNA". It matches the Rfam family "Bacterial small subunit ribosomal RNA", at positions 30 to 523 of the family's 1533-position model. The record is from RNAcentral.